GCAAAUCACAGCUUGUACUUUUUGCAAGAGGUUACACAACUUGACUGAGAUAGAUGUUAGAAGUUACAUACAUGAGAUGAGAGGCAACAAAAAAUGAUCUCAUAUCAAAGAUCUAGUUGAGCACCAGCUCUGAUAACAACAACUCUACAAGUGCUUUGUAGAUAUGACAAGUUAGGGAAGCUUAAGGAAGAGAUUGAGGAGUUGAAGAUGGGGGUGCAUCAUCAGCUGACCCCAGUCUUUUCGUGGUCAUGAAGGAGAGGCUGGGGGAGUUGAUGCAAGAAGGGCAGCAUGAGUACAACUUAAUUGACUCAUUUAGUUCUCCUUUUAUCUCAUAGAUUUUAGAUUUUGGUGCUACAUAACGUAUGACUACUACCUUAUGUAAAUUUUUCACCUAUAAAUCAUGUCUUAAUAAUAGAAAAGUGGUCAUUGUUGAGGGUUCAUUGCUCACUAUAGUUGGAGUGAGAAAUGAAAAAGCAAGACUCUUAAAAGAUGUCUUAUAUGUUCCCAAACUUUCAAAAAGUUUUGUCUCUAUUAAGAAACUAGUAAAUAACCCAGGUUGUAAGGCUUUAUUUACUAAUUAUGUUUGUGUUAUAUGACAAGGAGUUGGAUCCAAAGAUUGGACUUGUUAGGGAGCAAGGAUGCCUCUACAAUACAAGGG
Molecule: long non-coding RNA, 658 nt
Filed under: Spirodela polyrhiza (greater duckweed)
Lineage: Eukaryota; Viridiplantae; Streptophyta; Magnoliopsida; Alismatales; Araceae
Description: long non-coding RNA (SPOL_LNC000861)
Source: RNAcentral